CCUGUUGCUGUCCGUUUCGGCUGGUGGAUGAUUCCAAAUGAUAUCUUUUGUGCCAAGAGCCAGAAUUUUGUGUCCUGAGUCGAAGACCCGUAGUGGGAGUUACCAAGGCCGAGCAGAGGAUAAUGAGGUAGGUUAGGUAGACAUACACUCUCGGAAACGCUUGUUCCAAUGGGAUCGCGCUGCAUCGUCAUCAGCAUCACCGGUCGGUCAUCUUUCAAAUGACGGCAGUUGGGGUAAUUUGUAAUAUAUCCGACUAGGGAUCUUUGGUUGAUAGUUGCCGGGCUUGAGCGCAGGAGGGUUUUUUUCAUUAUUAUUUUAUUAUUAUUUUAUUAUUUUUUUUCUCAUGUUUGCUGACGAUAUUCGGUGCACCACCAAAGCCGGAUUGCCGAAUCCCCCGUAACGUCACCCCUGACAACAUUCCUGUAUACUCGCAGAGCCAUAGUUUUUGUAUUUCCUCGUUCCCCUGUUGGCCUUCGCCGAAUUCAGACUCCCAUUCCUGUAUAC
Molecule: small RNA, 504 nt
Filed under: Histoplasma capsulatum var. duboisii H88
Lineage: Eukaryota; Fungi; Ascomycota; Eurotiomycetes; Onygenales; Ajellomycetaceae
Description: Histoplasma capsulatum H88 hypothetical RNA
Source: RNAcentral